Small nuclear RNA from Hyaena hyaena (striped hyena), 104 nucleotides. Lineage: Eukaryota; Metazoa; Chordata; Mammalia; Carnivora; Hyaenidae. The record is from RefSeq and is a predicted model, not a curated record.
UUGCUUCAGCUGCACAUAUGUUACAACUGGAACCAUACAGAAAAGAUUAGCAUGGCGCCCUCCCAAAGGAUGACAUGUAAAUUCAUGAAGCCUUCCCUAUUUUU